GUAAGUCUGUCUUUUGAGUGAGUUGAGUCUUCUCUUUCAGAGAAUCAUCUGAUGAAAUUCCAGGCUCCUGAAAGGUUGGAGGAAGAGUCAGGGAAGCAGGGAUAUAGCAAGCCCAUAAUGACAACUAACACCUCCAAAACUGAAUAGGGCUAGAUGAAAUGUAAUGGAACCUUCAGAUAUAUGAAGAUUUAAUUUCGCACAAGUGUUGCCAACAGUCAUGUUCUGAGAGCUGCUACUGUAGAAGGAAAAAACAAGCAUGCUAGGACCCCGGAUUAUGCUGGGCGUGAGUGUCAACAGCAGCCCAGAUUGGAGGCCCAGAACCUACUGAAGAUUCCAGAAGCCUGCCAGGCUCCUUUGCCAGAGAAGAAGAAUAAAAAACAACCCACUGAAAACUUCAGUUGUUCAGGUAAGAUCAACAAACUAGAUGAGUGAAAGGGAGCCAGAAGCAGAAACGGGACAAGGAAAUAGACUAUUAGUGUGACAAGCGCUCCGAUAUGGACUGCCACAAGGAUAUAGCUUCUCCGUGAGUAAAAUGGAAGUGAUACCACCUAUCUCACAGAGCAGCUCUGAAGGCCAAAAAGAUGACACAUACAAAGCACUUAGCACCAUGCCUAGAAUAAUUAAUACUUCUCAGAUCCUCUUUAUCUCAGCUCAACACACUCCCAACUGGUCCAACAAGUUCCCAAAAGUGUCUGAGAGAGCUGUAAAAUACAGAUUCCUAGGCUCCACUCCAGAUCUACAAAAUUAGUAUGUCUGGGGAGAAGGCCCAGAUGAUUCUGAUACACAUUUCCAUGGGGAACCACUGGAUAGGACCAUAUCAUUAGCCCACAUCAGUCUAACUUUCAGAGGAAAAGCAAGAGGAAUCCACAUUUUUUGGAAACCUACACUGUGCUUGAUGCAGUGCUAGCAGCUUUCACUUGAAAGAUACAUUUGUCUCUUUCUCAUAAUUUCUCACAGUUCACCAGGGUGAGGCUAGGUGACAAUGAUUUGAAAAAGUUAUAUGACACAGAACACAGAUAUAACAUAUAUUUUCAUCCCUGUAACUCUAGCCUCGCCAGGGAAUUGCUCCUGGGAUUACAGUUGACCCUAGUUUUCCUCCUGGUUCCUGCGUUUGAAACCCAUUUCACUUUAUUAAAAAACCUUCUAUAUUGUCCAACCUAUACUAAUAACAAUAGUAAUACUAUCAGUUAAUGUCAGGCCAAGCAGCUCAUGCCUGUAAUCCCAGCACUUUAAGAGGCCGAGCUGGGCAGCUUAGAUGAGUCCAGCAAUUUGAGACCAGCCUGGGCAACAUGGUGAAGCCCCGUCUCAACAAAAAAUAUUAAAAAAAAUAAAUAAAAAUUUAUAUUUUUUGUUGAGACGGGGCUUCACCAUGUUGCCCAGGCAUUAACUGGAAGAAACAGAAACAAGGAAUUAAGUGUGUUCACAUUCUUUGAUCUAAGGACUAGAGGCAGGACUGAGAAAGCAGCAGAGAAUGAAUUCACCUGACUUUACUGCCAUCGUGUGGUCGUCUCAUGCAUAGACAACUGGCUCACAAUUCUGCAUUCAUUUUUCCAGUCAUUGAGCCUACUAGGCCCUCUGCAAGGCAAUGUGAAAAUAAGGCCAAUUGAAUCAGAAGACCUGACCUUGAGGCUAUUGUAACAGCCUUGCUUUCCUCUGGAGUCACCAAGCUGGAAGUCACCUUAGUCACCAACUACUCCAGGGGUGAGCACCUCAUUCUCAUGCAGACUAUGUCAGAAAAGAUAGAAAUGUUUAUAAGCACCGUCAUUAUUUUUCUAUUCAAAAUGAAAGUAGCUUAGUGGCCUAUGGGAUGUAUAGAGUCUCAUUACUUUAAGCACCUCACUAUUUUUAAUAGAAGAUGAUCAGUGAGAAAAUCUAAUGGUAAAUUAGCUUUCUAAUCUGUUAUGCCUUGUACCUGUAGAGCAUUGUUUUCAUAAAGCACAUUUAUCUGCAUGUUGUCAUGUUAUGGCCAAAACAAUUUUGGAAGGUAGGUAUAUUAGUCCAUUCUCAUGCUGCUAUGAA
RNAcentral lists this long non-coding RNA (2019 nucleotides) under Homo sapiens (human). RNAcentral describes it as "HSALNT0285408". The record is from RNAcentral. Lineage: Eukaryota; Metazoa; Chordata; Mammalia; Primates; Hominidae.